GACGAACGCUGGCGGCGUGCUUAACACAUGCAAGUCGAACGGAAAGGCCCUGCUUUUGUGGGGUGCUCGAGUGGCGAACGGGUGAGUAACACGUGAGUAACCUGCCCUUGACUUUGGGAUAACUUCAGGAAACUGGGGCUAAUACCGGAUAGGAGCUCCUGCUGCAUGGUGGGGGUUGGAAAGUUUCGGCGGUUGGGGAUGGACUCGCGGCUUAUCAGCUUGUUGGUGGGGUAGUGGCUUACCAAGGCUUUGACGGGUAGCCGGCCUGAGAGGGUGACCGGCCACAUUGGGACUGAGAUACGGCCCAGACUCCUACGGGAGGCAGCAGUGGGGAAUAUUGCACAAUGGGCGGAAGCCUGAUGCAGCAACGCCGCGUGCGGGAUGACGGCCUUCGGGUUGUAAACCGCUUUCGCCUGUGACGAAGCGUGAGUGACGGUAAUGGGUAAAGAAGCACCGGCUAACUACGUGCCAGCAGCCGCGGUGAUACGUAGGGUGCGAGCGUUGUCCGGAUUUAUUGGGCGUAAAGGGCUCGUAGGUGGUUGAUCGCGUCGGAAGUGUAAUCUUGGGGCUUAACCCUGAGCGUGCUUUCGAUACGGGUUGACUUGAGGAAGGUAGGGGAGAAUGGAAUUCCUGGUGGAGCGGUGGAAUGCGCAGAUAUCAGGAGGAACACCAGUGGCGAAGGCGGUUCUCUGGGCCUUUCCUGACGCUGAGGAGCGAAAGCGUGGGGAGCGAACAGGCUUAGAUACCCUGGUAGUCCACGCUGUAAACGGUGGGUACUAGGUGUGGGGUCCAUUCCACGGGUUCCGUGCCGUAGCUAACGCUUUAAGUACCCCGCCUGGGGAGUACGGCCGCAAGGCUAAAACUCAAAGGAAUUGACGGGGCCCCGCACAAGCGGCGGAGCAUGCGGAUUAAUUCGAUGCAACGCGUAGAACCUUACCUGGGUUUGACAUGGAUCGGGAGCGCUCAGAGAUGGGUGUGCCUCUUUUGGGGUCGGUUCACAGGUGGUGCAUGGCUGUCGUCAGCUCGUGUCGUGAGAUGUUGGGUUAAGUCCCGCAACGAGCGCAACCCUUGUUCACUGUUGCCAGCACGUUAUGGUGGGGACUCAGUGGAGACCGCCGGGGUCAACUCGGAGGAAGGUGGGGAUGACGUCAAGUCAUCAUGCCCCUUAUGUCCAGGGCUUCACGCAUGCUACAAUGGCUGGUACAGAGAGUGGCGAGCCUGUGAGGGUGAGCGAAUGUCCAGAAGCCGCUCUCAGUUCGGAUUGGGGUCUGCAACUCGCCCUCAAGAAGUGGGGGUCGCUAGUAAUCGCAGAUCAGCAACGAAGCGGGGAAUACGUUCCCG
Molecule: ribosomal RNA, 1341 nt
Filed under: uncultured bacterium
Lineage: Bacteria
Description: 16S ribosomal RNA
Rfam family: Bacterial small subunit ribosomal RNA
Source: RNAcentral